CUAGGACGCUCGGUACCGUGGCGUAGUAGAUCGCAGAAGAGCUCACAAACAGAAGCCUCGGAAGAGAGAGAAGAAGAAAAGAGGAAGAUGAUAUACCGGAGAUGGAGUCUGUUGACCGGGCCGGCAGCAAUGGUCGGCGGGAUCGUGGCCGCUGUAGUCGUCGCCAAUUACCUCUUCGUCGAAAACGAUCCAUUCCUCAAACCAACCCCAAGCAAGAAAGAUAGAGAUCCUUCAACCAAGUAGGAAAAUGAGAGACUCAAGUGUGAUCUAGACUUGUUCAAUGCUCUAUGUUUGCUGGGUAUGCCAUUUGCAGGCAUAUGUUAUGAAAAUUGAAUAAAUAUUUGAUUUGGUUGGAAAAUCCUGUUGUUAUUGUGGAUCAGGAGUGGAGUUGUGUUCUUUUGUGAUGCUUAUUAAUUUUAGUUUCUGGUACA
Molecule: long non-coding RNA, 431 nt
Organism: Diospyros lotus (date-plum)
Lineage: Eukaryota; Viridiplantae; Streptophyta; Magnoliopsida; Ericales; Ebenaceae
Exons: 2
Source: RefSeq, a predicted model, not a curated record